UUAUGUUGAACAAUUUAGGGAAGGAUCAUUUUUCUCUAGGGUCGGUCUUCGAUCUGGUUAUUACCAGUUGAAGACUCGAAAGGAGGAUUUCCUAAAACAGUUUUGGUACCGAUGACUUUGUAAUUGUUUUAAUUAAGGGUAUUGUGAUUUCUUCGGAUCCAAGGGAGGCAUAUGAGAGACACCCUUGGAUGAUGUUGUAAUGUCUCUAGAAGCAUAAGUUUUAUGCUAAAUGUAAGAAAUGCAAGUUUUGCAGAUCCCAAAGUUGCAAUGAAGGUUAGAGAUUUUUCUGGAAUUAACAGGAUACUACAGAAUAUUUGUUGGGGGUUGUCAACGCCCUUAGUGGAAUCAAAUCAAAAGAAUUGAAACAGAGAUUAACUAUUAUACCAAUGUUAACAUUGUUAGUCAGUGAGGGGAGAAUGUGAUUUGAUGUGAUACUUCUAUACAAGGAUUAGAUUGUAUUCUGACACAAUUUAGGAGAGUUGUUGCCUAAUUACUUAGACCAAUUGAAGGAGUAUGAGAAGUGAUAUUUUAGUCAUGAUAUUGAAUUGGCUGUAAUCGUUUUGCACUGAAAGUUUGGCACCAUUUUCUAUAUGGUGAAAAUGUGAAGUCUAUACAGAUCACAAAAGCCUCAAAUACUUUUCUUUUGGAAGAAUUUAGAUGGGAGGCCGUGGUGACGGUUAAAGUUGAUUGAAAUUUUUAACGGUGUGAUUUUCUACCACUCUGGGAAGUAAAUUAGUAGUAAAUACCUUAAACUAAAGAGGUCUAGGACAAGUUUGUAAAACAAAAAGAUCUCACUAAAGGUUGCUAGAAAUGUAACCAGAAUAGGGAUUAAGUUCAUGAUUGGAGAACUAGUUAAUCUUACAUUGUAGUUUAUUAUGUUGGAAAGAAAUAGAGUGGCCGAGCAGAGUGACUCUGAACUUUAGAAGUACAAGGAAAGGCUUGGAACCGGAUUGACAAAGAACUUUUUGAUUUUGUUUGAAGGAAUUUUAUGAUAUAAAGACAAGGUUGGUGUAUCAGUCUGAUAAGGAUAUUGAAUAGAAGGUUCUAAGUGAGUUUCAUACUACACUAUACUCUUUAUACUCGGGAGUAACUAAGAUAUAAGAUCACUACAAAUUUUUUAUAUUUUUUUUAUUAUUAGAGUGGAAUAUGUUUGUGGCAGAUUAGUGUGCUAAUCUAUUUGUCAAGGGAAUAGUUCAACCCUGUGAUGCUCUGAAAGUAAUUAUCUCAGAUUGAGAUUUAAAGUUUACAUCUAAAUGCUGAGAGAGUCUGUAACAAGCAUGUGUGAUAUAUUUUGAGGGUCAGAGACUUAGAAUUUUUUUUUAGUACCACCUAAGAGAGGGGUGCAUAAUGUCUUCCACAUAUCUAUGUUAAGAAAGUAUUUGUCAGAUCCGACACAUAUUUAAGUUACGAUGAUAUUAAAUUCCAUACAACUGAUUUUACGAGGAAGCGACUUGGGAAUUAGAGUCGCAGAUGAGGGAGCUGUAUCCCCAAAUUAUCAAGUAAAUUUCGAGGACGAAAUUUUUAUAAGGAGGGGAUGGUUGUAAUAUCCCAAUAAGCCUUAUUGUAAGUAAUUAGGAUUUAUAAUUAUAUUAUGGAUUAAUCAGGUUAUAAGUGGGAUUAUGAUCCUACUAAUCUAGUUCAACAUAAAUUUUAAAUUUUGCUAUAAGUGAGUAAAUAAGCGUAAUUUAUAAACUACGGAGAUUUAUAUAGUAUGUCUGAAUGUAAUAUAAGAUAAAUGUGGAAUAAAAAUAUUUGCAGGUUUGGCGACCUUGGAGACUCGAUCGGGGGCCAAAAAUAUCAUAACAGGUUUAAUUAUUAGUUUUAAUGGGAAUAUUGUGAUUAGUUGAUAGUGUAUGUAUUGGGGGUAAUAAGGAGUAUGUAGAAUUUAACUUAGCGCCCUAGAAGUAUAGAUUUCUUAAUGGCUAAGAAAUAAUAAAAUAAUUAUUAAUAAUAAAGUUUCUAUUAAUAUUAUUAUUAUUAUUAUUUUAUUAUUAUUAUUAUUAUUAUUAUUAUUAUUAUUAUUAUUAUUAUUAUUAUAUUAAAAUUUGAAGUUAUCUGUAUAUAUAUUAAAACUUUGAAAAAGAAAAAAAACUAACCUAUCCUAUCUCUCUCGCUCCUCUUCGUGCCACAAAAAAACCACCAUCCUCAUCCUUUUUUUUCUUCAAUCUUUAGCCUAAAACCAGCUCUAGCAGCAGCUGUGAGCAUAGGUAAGUUCAAGGAAAAAGAAACUUGAGGGCCCGGGAUGAUCGAUCGUUCUCCAAGCAGGUCGGCCAACAUACCUAAACCAGAAUUUGAGGUAAGGAAGUUAGAAGCUGUGUUCGGCCAUGAGUCAGAGGUCUCCCAGCAAUGUACAUAUCAGCCGUGGGGUCUUGGCUUCUGGGAAGCAGGAUCGAAUUCCUUUCUAUGUUUGGAAAUGUAAUCUAUUGUAAAAGAAUAUUUUUAUUUUAUAAAUAGGGGAUCCUAUUUUACGAUAGUAUUUAAAAUGAAAGUCUUUAUUUUGAAUUUAAUUAAAGAUUUAAAUUAAACCACACUGUUUUUUUUUCAAAAUUUAUAGAUUAGUGAUAAUAAAC
Molecule: long non-coding RNA, 2570 nt
Organism: Cannabis sativa
Lineage: Eukaryota; Viridiplantae; Streptophyta; Magnoliopsida; Rosales; Cannabaceae
Exons: 3
Source: RefSeq, a predicted model, not a curated record